GAUGAACGCUGGCGGCGUGCCUAAUACAUGCAAGUCGAGCGAACAGACGAGGAGCUUGCUCCUCUGACGUUAGCGGCGGGCGGGUGAGUAACACGUGGAUAACCUACCUAUAAGACUGGGAUAACUUCGGGAAACCGGAGCUAAUACCGGAUAAUAUAUUGAACCGCAUGGUUCAAUAGUGAAAGACGGUUUUGCUGUCACUUAUAGAUGGAUCCGCGCCGCAUUAGCUAGUUGGUAAGGUAACGGCUUACCAAGGCGACGAUGCGUAGCCGACCUGAGAGGGUGAUCGGCCACACUGGAACGGAGACACGGUCCAGACUCCUACGGGAGGCAGCAGUAGGGAAUCUUCCGCAAUGGGCGAAAGCCUGACGGAGCAACGCCGCGUGAGUGAUGAAGGUCUUCGGAUCGUAAAACUCUGUUAUUAGGGAAGAACAAAUGUGUAAGUAACUAUGCACGUCUUGACGGUACCUAAUCAGAAGGCCACGGCUAACUACGUG
This 497-nucleotide ribosomal RNA is filed under the name uncultured bacterium. Its description in RNAcentral is "partial 16S ribosomal RNA". It matches the Rfam family "Bacterial small subunit ribosomal RNA", at positions 28 to 507 of the family's 1533-position model. The record is from RNAcentral.